Molecule: ribosomal RNA, 426 nt
Filed under: uncultured bacterium
Lineage: Bacteria
Description: partial 16S ribosomal RNA
Rfam family: Bacterial small subunit ribosomal RNA
Source: RNAcentral
GUGAGGAAUUUUCCGCAAUGGGCGAAAGCCUGACGGAGCAAUGCCGCGUGAAGGAUGAAGACCUAUGGGUUGUAAACUUCUUUUCUCAGAAAAGAAUUAUGACGGUAUCUGAGGAAUAAGCAUCGGCUAACUCUGUGCCAGCAGCCGCGGUAAGGCAGAGGAUGCAAGCGUUAUCCGGAAUGAUUGGGCGUAAAGCGUCUGUAGGUUGUUUAAAAAGUAUUCUGUCAAAGAUUAGGGCUUAACCCUAGAUAGGCAGAAUAAACUUUUAAGCUAGAGUUUGGUAGAGGCAGAGGGAAUUCCCGGUGGAGCGGUGAAAUGCGUAGAUAUCGGGAGGAACACCAAAGGCGAAGGCACUCUGCUGGGCCAAUACUAACACUGAGAGACGAAAGCGAGGGGAGCAAAUGGGAUUAGAAACCCCUGUAGUCC